Molecule: long non-coding RNA, 435 nt
Filed under: Pan troglodytes (chimpanzee)
Lineage: Eukaryota; Metazoa; Chordata; Mammalia; Primates; Hominidae
Description: long non-coding RNA NONPTRT003634
Source: RNAcentral
UGCCAUAUAUACUAGACGUUCUAUGUAUUGGAUGCUGAGGCUACGAUGUUUGGCUGAAAUAAAAACUCAAAGCCCCCACAAUAUUGAACCACCAUUCCAGACCCAGCCAAGGUUUGGAACAUAAAGUGAGCUGAAUGAAUCAGCCUGCAGGCAACCCAGAGAAAGUAAUUGUUCAUCCUAGCAGCACGGCUGCUUUUCUGCUUAGCAUCUGAACAAGUUAAUUUGGAAACACAGCCUUCUGGAAAGAAAUGGCGCUUCUCUCAGCAUCCCAUGGAUUCAUGAGCAGCUCCUUGAAUGCAAAUAUUGCCUGAUAUUUUCAUGGUAUUCACAGAUUUGGGAAGUGACGAUGGAUUUAAAUACAGGACAUCCUAUCUGCAUUCCUAAACAUAGAAGACAAGGUGUUGGAUCAACUUGCCCCACAUAAAAGAGAUUAUG